Molecule: ribosomal RNA, 967 nt
Filed under: bacterium HTCC4101
Lineage: Bacteria
Description: bacterial SSU rRNA
Rfam family: Bacterial small subunit ribosomal RNA
Source: RNAcentral
GAUACCAGAGAGCUUGCUUUCUGGGAAAGUGGCGCACGGGUGCGUAACGCGUAUGCAACCUACCUUAAUCAGGGGGAUAGCCUCUCGAAAGAGAGAUUAACACCGCAUAAAAUCACACUUCGGCAUCGAAGAAUGAUCAAAUAUUUAUAGGAUUAAGAUGGGCAUGCGUGACAUUAGCUAGUUGGUAAGGUAAUGGCUUACCAAGGCUACGAUGUCUAGGGGAUCUGAGAGGAUGACCCCCCACACUGGUACUGAGACACGGACCAGACUCCUACGGGAGGCAGCAGUAAGGAAUAUUGGUCAAUGGGGGCAACCCUGAACCAGCCAUGCCGCGUGCAGGAAGACGGCCCUACGGGUUGUAAACUGCUUUUAUACGGGAAUAAAUCAUGCUACGAGUAGUGUGUUGAAUGUACUGUAAGAAUAAGGAUCGGCUAACUCCGUGCCAGCAGCCGCGGUAAUACGGAGGAUCCAAGCGUUAUCCGGAUUUAUUGGGUUUAAAGGGUGCGUAGGCGGCCUAUUAAGUCAGGGGUGAAAGACGGUGGCUCAACCAUCGCAGUGCCCUUGAUACUGAUGGGCUUGAUUACACUUGAGGUAGGCGGAAUGUGACAAGUAGCGGUGAAAUGCAUAGAUAUGUCACAGAACACCAAUUGCGAAGGCAGCUUACUAAGGUGUCAAUGACGCUGAGGCACGAAAGCGUGGGGAUCAAACAGGAUUAGAUACCCUGGUAGUCCACGCCCUAAACGAUGAAUACUCGAUGUUAGCGAUAUACAGUUAGCGUCAAAGCGAAAGCGUUAAGUAUUCCACCUGGGGAGUACGCCCGCAAGGGUGAAACUCAAAGGAAUUGACGGGGGCCCGCACAAGCGGAGGAGCAUGUGGUUUAAUUCGAUGAUACGCGAGGAACCUUACCCGGGCUUGAAAGUUACUGAAUGAUUUAGAGAUAGAUCAGUCCGCAAGGACAGGAAACUAG